UGGAUAAUACUGCUUGGACAUUUUCAUGCAGCACAGAUCAUGACGACAGCACAAAGCACAACGCCAGCAACCACCACUACAACAGGAGCAACAAACACCACAACGGCACUACCAACAACUGCAAGUGGACAUCCGACAUCCACAACAACAACACCUCCAACUAUGACAACAGAACUACCAACCACUACAACAGCAUCGCCGACCACCACAACAACACCACCAACCACUACAACAGAACCUUCGACGACCACAACCACACCACAAACCACCACAACAGCCCCACAAACCACCACAACAGCACCACUGACCACCACAACACCAUCAACUACAAACACAGGGCCUCUGACCACAACAACAGCACCACCAACCACUACAUCAGCACCACCAACCACUACAACCAAAGCACCAACUACCACAACAGGACCUAUGACCAGCACAACAACACCACCAACCACUACAAUGGCACCUGCGACUACCACAGCGGCACCACAAAUAACCAUAAUAACACCUCUGACAACCACAAUGACAACCCCAACCACUACAACAGCACCUCUGACCAUUACAACAGCACCACAGACAACCACAUUCACAACACCAACCACUACAACAACAGCUCCAACCGCCACGACACCACCACCAACUACAACAGCACCUCCGACCACCACAACAGCUCCACCAACCACAACAACAGCACCACUGACAACCACACUCACAACACCAAACACUACAACAGCAGUUCCGGCCACCACAACAGCACCACCAACAAGCACUACAACAGCACCACCGACCACCACAACCACAGCACAAACUACCACAACAGCACCUUUGACCAGCACAACAGCACCAAUAACCACUACAACAGCACCUCCGACUACCACAGUGGCACCACAAACCACCACAACAACAACCACAACAACUGAACCUCCAACCACUACUACAGUACCUCCAGCCACUACAACAGCACUACCAACAACUACAACAGCACCACCGACAACGACAACAGCUCCACCAACCACUGCAACAGCAUCUCCAACCACCACAACAGCACCUCCGACCACUACAACAGCACCACCAACAACCACACUCACAACACCAACCACUACAACAGCACCUCCAACCACCACAAAAGCACCAACAAGCACUACAACAGCAUCACCGACCACCACAACGGCAGAACCAACUACAAACACAGAGCCUCUGACCACAACAACAGCACCACCAACCACUACAUCAGCACCACCAACCACUACAACCAAAGCACCAACUACCACAACAGGACCUAUGACCAGCACAACAACACCACCAACCACUACAACAGCACCUGCGACUACCACAGCGGCACCACAAAUAACCAUAACAGCAACUCUGACAACCACAAUGACUACCCCAACCACUACAACUGUACCUCCAACCACUACAACAGCACCUCUGACCAUUACAACAGCACCACAGACAACCACUACAACAACACCAACCACUACAACAACAGCUCCAACCGCCACGACACCACCACCAACUACAACAGCACCUCCGACCACCACAACAGCUCCACCAACCACAACAACAGCACCACUGACAACCACACUCACAACACCAAACACUACAACAGCAGUUCCGGCC
Astatotilapia calliptera (eastern happy) is the source of this 1620-nucleotide long non-coding RNA. The record is from Ensembl. NCBI's taxonomy places the organism in Eukaryota, Metazoa, Chordata, Actinopteri, Cichliformes, Cichlidae.